GUUCUCAUUUGCUAGCUCCACCGAAUGGCUUGGUCAGGUCUUUCUUCCAAUAUGAAGAGAGGUGGUUGACACUCCUAAGUUAAGUAACCUAUGAAUGCGAGAGCUGGACCAUAAGGAAGGCUGAGCGAAGGAACCGAAGGCUUUUGAAUUCUGGUGCUGGAGGAAAAUCCUGAGAGUGCCUUGGACCACAAGAAGAUCCAACCAGUCCAUCCUCCAGGAAAUAAUGCCCGACUGCUCACUGGAGGGAAGGAUACUAGAGGCAAAGAUGAAGUAUUUUGGCCACAUCAUGAGAAGACAGGAAAGCUUGGAAAAGAUCAUGAUGCUGGGGAAAAUGGAAGGAAAAAGGAAGAGAGGCCGACCAAGGGCAAGAUGGAUGGACGGUAUCCUUGAAGUGACUGGCUUGACCUUGAAGGAACUGGGGACGGCGACGGCUGACAGGGAGCUCUGGCGUGGACUGGUUCAUGAGGUCACAAAGAGUCGAAAACAACUAUGUGAUUGAAGAAAAAGAAGAAGAAGACAUUUUGACUAUACUUGGGCCAAAAGCAUACUGCAGAACAGCACUAUCAUUUAUGGACAUCUCGAGGGGCAUGUCUACACUGGCCAGAACUCCUGAAUCGAGUCAGAAGUCACUCUCGAACAUCCAUACAACAUCAAAGGGCCUCUGGCCCAUAACACUGGUAAAAUCAGUUAAUUCAGUUUUACCCCACAUUAGUAAAAGUUUUGCCAUAAUUCGAGAGUAGCCCUGUACUAGGAUCAGAUGCAGACAGUUUGGCCAGUUGUAAUUUGAACCAGUACUGUCAAUCCAUUUUUCCCUGCGCUCCAUGCUACAAUGAAAAGGGGAUGAACUUACAUAUGCUGUUCUGAGCAACAUAUGAAGGAAAUAGAGGAUGUGUCAUUUUAGCUUUGUUAUCAGCAGCACUGUGAUAUGACAAGGUGUGAUCCAAAUAAGGGAAAGGCAAAGGCUGACAGUGGCAUAAACAGUGUAGGAAAUGGAAUGGAAAACAUACAUACAUUGUCAUCAGGGAAGAGAAGGAGGGAAGGGAGGGGAAGACAGAGAAAAGAGAGAGAACCAGACCAGUUUCUAGAGAAACUGGAGUAGGCAAGGUCCGCAAUUAUGCAUGAUUGCUGGGUAACUGCUCUUCAGGCCACGAUUAACUUGAGCCAAGUUAAAAUUACUUUAAUUAUGUUUUCAUUCCUUUCCCUGGGAAAAUUUUUGUUUCUUGACAAUCACAAAAUAUUUGUUAGAUAUUCAUAUAUUUGUUAGAUAUUCAUAGUAUUGAUGACUAUGUCAGGCUAUUGGUUGUUUGUGAAUGGUUGUUUUAUGUUGUUCUAUGAUGAUACAAAAAUAAAGUUAUUGUUAUAUUAUUA
Long non-coding RNA from Anolis carolinensis (green anole), 1368 nucleotides. RefSeq lists it as uncharacterized. The transcript is spliced from 2 exons. The record is from RefSeq and is a predicted model, not a curated record. Lineage: Eukaryota; Metazoa; Chordata; Lepidosauria; Squamata; Anolidae.